Molecule: long non-coding RNA, 3833 nt
Organism: Schistocerca gregaria
Lineage: Eukaryota; Metazoa; Arthropoda; Insecta; Orthoptera; Acrididae
Exons: 2
Source: RefSeq, a predicted model, not a curated record
CACUCGGGACGAAGAUGGCGGUCGGUGGUCACAUGUUAUGAUUCACCAAGGCUGAAAUAAACAGUUUACUGAAAUGAGGGUAACGCCUUAAAAUGUGGCAUCCUUGAAGCUGUUAGUAGUGAUAUUUUAUUCUUGUAGUUUCAAGAAAACGAAACUGAGUAUCAUUCGGAAGUGAGUGAUAGCGUCAUAGGUUAUUUGAAACUGCGCAAAAUCUGGUGUACCAUACCACGUAAACAGUUCUCAUCGACAACGAACAAAAUUAACAAACAUUGUGUGCGGAUAGUUUAUUGAUUCUUUGCAGAGGGAGUGAAACAUAACAUCGGGUGUUUAGGGUUUACCACUAGUUACAGGAUCGAAAAUCACUGUUCACUACGAAUCUCAUAACGACGGAAAUGCGGAUGCAGUACUGCUACGCCAGCAUAAUUUCACUUUAUAGGUGGAAGUAGAAUCAAAAAAUGCCGAUUUUGUAGCAGAGGUGUGACAUAAAUUUUUGAUACUAGCUACACAGAAACAUCGCUUAGUACAUUAACAUGCGACUGAUAUUUAAAUACUCAGUAUAGCGGUACAUCCCCAAAUAACACACAGUUGUGAUAAGGACUACCUUCUGAUCAGACUUGCUGUACAUGAAUCAACUUUGCUCCAGAACUAUCAGUACAUGCAUAUUGUUUUUAUGGGACAUGAUUGUUGUUACCACAAUACUAAGUACGAGUGCCUUGAGGUUGACAUACAAACUAUGUUUACUUUAAUGUUUUAUAGAUAUUACUUAACGACAAACACUGAUAUUGAGUAAUUGAAUUCACAUUUUGCAUACAGUUACAUGGGUAAACAAUAGUCUUUGAGUCUGCACAUUUUGUCACACAAGUAAUUGCUUUAGGGAAACAACUUAUGCCCCAUGUUAAACACCGCAACGAAGAUUUUGGCGGAGGGUGGCAGCGGUGGGCGGGCUUUCCACUAUCACACUGAGCCCAAAUUUAUCUGGGUAGAAGACCAAAUAGCAGUAUGAAUACUGAUGUACUCCUUUCAGAGCUGAAGCCGGGUUCUUAAAUUAGAGACACUGAUCAUUAGUAGUUGGUCUGUAACAAACAGAAGAUGCGUACGCAGUACUUACUAUUACCAAACCCAUGCUGACUCGAGCGUCAUUGUCAAAGAUGUGGAAAACAUGUUAAUGAUAGCAUGUAACAUCAGCAUGAGGUGACAAAUUGCAGAGGCGAGGCUAUAGUUUGACAUCACUUUUAUUAAUAUAACUUGAUGUAUGCCAUCCCAUAUUUUAUAGUCAAAAUAUGAUAAAAAAAAAACAGUGGAACUGAAAAUUAUAAACUCUUGGAAAUAAAUCAUUCAAGAUCUUUUGCAGAAACUUGAGUUCUGUUUCUUCAACCAUAAGAAUAAUGUUCACUGAUAUUUGGAAACUUAUUUAUUUUCACUGUGUUUUGAAGUGUAAUAAUUUUUGGAGCAGCUCUCUUGCUGCAGAUUCUUAAAAUAUAUCUUCAAAUUGACUGUAAAAAUUGUUGACAUUUGUCUAGACUGUUUUUGAUUCAUUUAAGGAUUUUAAGUCUGCGCACACUACACUAAUUGUGAUUAAGGAAUUGAAACAUUCAUUCAGUGAACACUACAAAACAGAGAGAGAGAGAGAGAGAGAGAGAGAGAGAGAGAGAGAGAGAGAGAGAGAGAGAGAGAGAAAAUCGCCUUUGGGCAGCACUUCAGUUAAAAUUUUACAGAAAUGUUUUGUGUUUUCCUGUUUAUUACAUUUUCAACAGGCUUUCAACAGGCCUGGAAAAUGUGAGUAAUAAAUCCCAGAUUUUCUAAUCUAAUGAUUGCUUGUGAGUAACAUUUAUUCUGGCAUCAAAAUCUUGGAUCACUUAUCUAAAGAUGUAAAUUGUAGACAGAUAUCAAAUCUAAAUUUGAAUGUGAGGUUUUAAUGAGUAUUCUGGGCUACUCCUAUUCCAAAAAUAAUUACAAUUGUGAAACUACUUUUCUCACCAGAGUGGUUGGUUUGGUUGGUUGGCACCAUUUUUCUUUCCUCAGCCUUUAAACAGGUGCCAGUAUUUAUCUGGGUUUUUUUAUGCACAAAGAGAUGGGGUUGACUGACCUGUACUAACCUUCAUGAAAGGCAACACUGAGUACAGUACAUAGAAACAACAAAAUAAAUAUUACCACAAGUUCUUCCCUCCUCCUUAGCAUAGGUUUUGAUUGCUCUCUCUAUCCCCUGCCCUCCUCAUCCUUGUCCUCAGUUUCCCCCAUCCAGUUUCUCCUAACCAUUUCCUCUUUUCUCCCUUGAAGAUGGAACAUGUGAUUCAGAAUUUACAUUUGCUGUUAGUUAUUUUCUUACUAUUUGCUGUACUGGGAAUUGCAACUCAUGAACAUCUAGCAGUCUCAUUCAAAAUUUAACAAAUUUCUGAGUAGAAAUUUUAUUUUUGUACAGUUAACUAUUGUUUUGUCAAUUUUUUCAUACUAAUUUAAACACCAUUAGAUAAAUGUGUGUGGCCCUUACUACUUGUACACACAGUAUUGAAAAUAACAUCCCAGCUGUCAGUUAGGGAAAAAAGCCAUUUGCUCUGAAUAUAACUUGUAGCGUAUGUAAUUUAACUGAAACAAUUUGCCAACUUCUUGUCAGGUUGGCAUAUGUAAGUGUUGGCCCCCUCAUAGUAUGUAUAAUUUAAUCAAUGUUAUCAUUGCACUAUUGUGAUGGCAUUUGAUGUGUAUCAUGGCACAUUUUCCACUGUGAGUGCAUGUGGAUAUAAGGUAACUAGCAAAACACAUUUCUAACAUAAGCAGAACUAGUGUGAUUGUAUGUGGUGUUCUUUUGUAAUCAGGCAGUUAUUUUCGCAACAAAUCAGUUACAUAUGAAUAAAUGUGAAAACAAUCUUGAACUAAACAUGUAGCAAAAAUAGAAAGAAAAACACAGAAUGAAAAUUAAAAUAAUGUUUCCAUUUAUUUCUUCUUCUUCUUUUUAACAUACAUGUACCAGCUGUUACUUAUGGCCUACAUCUACAUAACAAACAGCACCACAUGUGACAAAUGAGGAGCUGCCUCACUCUUAUCAUCACAUAAAAUUUGUGGCAUUUCUUAUAGUAUACCUGUGCAGACCCUGCUACAUCCAGUCAGAAAAGAUUAUCUUCUCUUCCUAAUUCUCUCCUCCAAAAACCAAGGGAAACAACUUACUACAAAAUCAGUCUUCUUAUUAGUCAGUCACAUUCCACUGCAUAGAAAGAGUUAGAUUUAUCAUUAAAAUCAUAUCAAAUAUGUCAAAGGGCCAGGCUUACUAGAAUCAAACAAGAAACAGUACCCCCUCCCUCGUGUAAUCGUAAAGGGUAUUUCUCUAACUCCUGCCUUUCUUAUAAUAUUAAUGAGAGGGGGGGGGGGGGGGGGCUACAGUUGUAAUGGCUCAAGGCUUUGAUUUCACUGUUCAUAUCAUUAUUUCAAUUUGUUGUUGAUUUCUGCUUGUAAGCACAGCCCUUUUAUCUCUUAAAUUACUGUUUGUAACUUAAUUUACAACAUUCAAACAUGAAUUUUAUUAAAGUUUGUAUUAACCAUUAAGAUGCUAAACUGAAAGCCAACAUGAUGAUGAAUAUUCUUUAGCAGCUGCAAACUGCUUUUUGACUUUGAAAUUUUAAGGAAAGUGUUGAAACCUGGGUCAAACAAGGGCUGCGGUGCUUUCACAUUGUAGCAGUUCAUGUAAUAAAUAGAAGCUGUGUAGGAACCAUAACUGUUUUGGUAAAGGGAGGAAAAUACUAGAAAUAAACUUGCCAUGGCAAGGUCUCUCUCUCUCUCUCUCUCUCUCUCUCUCUCUCUCUCUCUCUCUCUCUCUCUCUCUCUCCCCCCCCCCCCCCCCCCCC